This 448-nucleotide ribosomal RNA is filed under the name uncultured bacterium. RNAcentral describes it as "bacterial SSU rRNA". It matches the Rfam family "Bacterial small subunit ribosomal RNA", at positions 355 to 796 of the family's 1533-position model. The record is from RNAcentral.
UGGGGAAUCUUGCGCAAUGGGCGAAAGCCUGACGCAGCGACGCCGCGUGAGUGAUGAAGGCCCUCGGGUUGUAAAGCUCUGUGGAGGGGGACGAAUAAGUGUUGGCCAAUAUCCAACAUGAUGACGGUACCCCUUUAGCAAGCACCGGCUAACUCUGUGCCAGCAGCCGCGGUAAGACAGAGGGUGCGAACGUUGUUCGGAAUUACUGGGCGUAAAGCGCGUGUAGGCUGCUCGGAAAGUCGGAUGUGAAAGCCCUGGGCUCAACCCAGGAAGUGCAUUCGAAACUUCCAAGCUCGAGUCCUGGAGAGGAAAGCGGAAUUCUCGGUGUAGAGGUGAAAUUCGUAGAUAUCGAGAGGAACACCGGUGGCGAAGGCGGCUUUCUGGACAGUGACUGACGCUGAGACGCGAAAGCGUGGGGAGCAAACAGGAUUAGAUACCCCGGUAGUCC